RNAcentral lists this ribosomal RNA (444 nucleotides) under uncultured bacterium. RNAcentral describes it as "bacterial SSU rRNA". It matches the Rfam family "Bacterial small subunit ribosomal RNA", at positions 36 to 524 of the family's 1533-position model. The record is from RNAcentral.
AAAACCUGGCGGCAGCUUACCAUGCAAGUCGAGCGAGAUCUUCGGGUCUAGCGGCGGACGGGUGAGUAACGCGUGGGAACGUGCCCUUUGCUACGGAAUAGUCCUGGGAAACUGGGGGUAAUACCGUAUACGCCCUUUUGGGGAAAGAUUUAUCGGCGAAGGAUCGGCCCGCGUUGGAUUAGGUAGUUGGUGGGGUAAUGGCCUACCAAGCCGACGAUCCAUAGCUGGUUUGAGAGGAUGAUCAGCCACACUGGGACUGAGACACGGCCCAGACUCCUACGGGAGGCAGCAGUGGGGAAUCUUAGACAAUGGGGGCAACCCUGAUCUAGCCAUGCCGCGUGAGUGAUGAAGGCCUUAGGGUUGUAAAGCUCUUUCAGCUGGGAAGAUAAUGACGGUACCAGCAGAAGAAGCCCCGGCUAACUCCGUGCCAGCAGCCGCGGUAAU